UACGGAGGAUGCGAGCGUUAUCCGGAUUUAUUGGGUUUAGAGGGUGCGCAGGCGGUCUGUUAAGUCAGCGGUCAAAGCCCGGGGCUCAACCCCGGCCCGCCGUUGAAACUGGCAGUCUCGAGUUGGAGAGAAGUAUGCGGAAUGCGCGGUGUAGCGGUGAAAUGCAUAGAUAUCGCGCAGAACUCCGAUUGCGAAGGCAGCAUGCCGGCUCCACACUGACGCUGAGGCACGAAAGCGUGGGUAUCGAACAGG
This 252-nucleotide ribosomal RNA is filed under the name uncultured bacterium. RNAcentral's name for it is "partial 16S ribosomal RNA". It matches the Rfam family "Bacterial small subunit ribosomal RNA", at positions 524 to 776 of the family's 1533-position model. The record is from RNAcentral.